AUUGAACGCUGGCGGCAGGCCUAACACAUGCAAGUCGAGCGGAGCGGCGGACGGGUGCGUAAUGCCUAGGAAUCUGCCUGGUCGUGGGGGAUGACGUCAGGAAACGGGCGCUAAUACCGCAUCCUCUCAGAUGAGCCUAGGUCGGAUUGGGUAGUUGGUGGGGUAAAGGCAUACCAAGGCGACGAUCCGUAACUGUUCUGAGAGGAUGAGCAGUCACACUGGAACUGAGACAAGGCACAGACUCCUACGGGAGGCAGCAGUGGGGAAUAUUGGACAAUGGGCGCAAGCCUGAUCCAGCCAUGCCGCGUGUGUGAAGAAGGUCUUCGGAUUGUAAAGUACUUUAAGUUGGGAGGCGUUACCAACAGAAGAAGCACCGGCUAACUCCGUGCCAGCAGCCGCGGUAAUAC
This 407-nucleotide ribosomal RNA is filed under the name uncultured bacterium. RNAcentral describes it as "partial 16S ribosomal RNA". It matches the Rfam family "Bacterial small subunit ribosomal RNA", at positions 30 to 526 of the family's 1533-position model. The record is from RNAcentral.